Molecule: ribosomal RNA, 253 nt
Filed under: uncultured Geobacter sp.
Lineage: Bacteria; Pseudomonadati; Thermodesulfobacteriota; Desulfuromonadia; Geobacterales; Geobacteraceae
Description: partial 16S ribosomal RNA
Rfam family: Bacterial small subunit ribosomal RNA
Source: RNAcentral
UACGGAGGGUGCGAGCGUUGUUCGGAAUUAUUGGGCGUAAAGCGCGUGUAGGCGGUUUGAUAAGUCUGAUGUGAAAGCCCUGGGCUCAACCUAGGAAGUGCAUUGGAAACUGUCAGACUUGAAUACGGGAGAGGGUAGUGGAAUUCCUGGUGUAGGAGUGAAAUCCGUAGAUAUCAGGAGGAACACCGGUGGCGAAGGCGGCUACCUGGACCGAUAUUGACGCUGAGACGCGAAAGCGUGGGUAGCAAACAGG